UAUUCUGCCCCACGGGGAAGGAUGAGAAGCUUCGACUAAGGUUCGACUCGAGCGUAGCGAGAGAACGUUGCCGCAGGCAACGGUCCGAAGGGCGAGGCGCUUUAGCGCCGAGUAAUCCUUCCCCCACCACCA
RNAcentral lists this small RNA (132 nucleotides) under Klebsiella quasipneumoniae subsp. similipneumoniae. RNAcentral describes it as "RtT sRNA". It matches the Rfam family "RtT RNA". From Rfam's summary of the family: This family represents a bacterial cis-regulatory element known as RtT RNA. The exact function of RtT is unknown although it is thought that it may be involved in changing the cellular response in relation to amino acid starvation. RNAcentral also lists the same sequence under 1 other name. The record is from RNAcentral. Lineage: Bacteria; Pseudomonadati; Pseudomonadota; Gammaproteobacteria; Enterobacterales; Enterobacteriaceae.